This 68-nucleotide transfer RNA is filed under the name Marmota monax (woodchuck). RNAcentral's name for it is "tRNA.Ala". The record is from RNAcentral. Lineage: Eukaryota; Metazoa; Chordata; Mammalia; Rodentia; Sciuridae.
GGAUUGUGACUCAAUGGUAGAGCACUUGCCUAGCACGUGUGAGGCCCUGGGUUCAAUCUUCAGCACCA